Molecule: non-coding RNA, 110 nt
Organism: Acanthosepion pharaonis
Lineage: Eukaryota; Metazoa; Mollusca; Cephalopoda; Sepiida; Sepiidae
Source: the annotation of a GenBank genome assembly
GGCCACAUCGCAUUGAAACACCGGUUCUUGUACGAUCACCGAAGUUAAGCAACGUCGUGCUGCGUCAGUACCUAAAAUGGGUGACAGUUUGGGAAUGUCAAAUGCUGUAA